GGGCCCGUAGCUCAGUGGCAAGAGCGGCGGACUCAUAAUCUGCUGGUCGCAGGUUCGAUCCCUGCCGGGCCCACAA
RNAcentral lists this transfer RNA (76 nucleotides) under Chloroflexota bacterium. Its description in RNAcentral is "Chloroflexi bacterium tRNA-Met". It matches the Rfam family "tRNA". From Rfam's summary of the family: Transfer RNA (tRNA) molecules are approximately 80 nucleotides in length. Their secondary structure includes four short double-helical elements and three loops (D, anti-codon, and T loops). Further hydrogen bonds mediate the characteristic L-shaped molecular structure. tRNAs have two regions of fundamental functional importance: the anti-codon, which is responsible for specific mRNA codon recognition, and the 3' end, to which the tRNAs corresponding amino acid is attached (by aminoacyl-tRNA synthetases). tRNAs cope with the degeneracy of the genetic code in two manners: having more than one tRNA (with a specific anti-codon) for a particular amino acid; and 'wobble' base-pairing, i.e. permitting non-standard base-pairing at the 3rd anti-codon position. The record is from RNAcentral. Lineage: Bacteria; Bacillati; Chloroflexota.